CACAUGAUGGCGCUAGCCAAUAACAGAAACCUUAGUUCUUGGGCUGCCAUAUUCGCCGUUGCUCUUCUAGUCAUGGCUACGGUUUCUUUCUACGAAGGAGUGUCAGAUGAAGUGAUGAGCCAUACCACUGGAAAUACAUGUGUGGCUGACUAUGAAUGUGAUCUGGCAUCGUGUGAAGCUAGGUGCCGGAACAUGAAGAUGGACCCAAGUGCAGCCCGCUGUGAGAUAAAGGCUGGAUUAGUUCCCUAUUGUUGUUGCGCCCACGACUACACGGGGCACAUCAGAUAUGAAAAUAAUGGAAAAUGAUCUUAGACCAUAAUUCAUGUAUCCUUCUGCAUGAUUGGUUAAUAAGAAUGAUAAGCCGAGAUUGCAUGGCCA
Molecule: long non-coding RNA, 378 nt
Organism: Hordeum vulgare subsp. vulgare (domesticated barley)
Lineage: Eukaryota; Viridiplantae; Streptophyta; Magnoliopsida; Poales; Poaceae
Exons: 2
Source: RefSeq, a predicted model, not a curated record